Molecule: unclassified non-coding RNA, 251 nt
Filed under: Hevea brasiliensis (rubber tree)
Lineage: Eukaryota; Viridiplantae; Streptophyta; Magnoliopsida; Malpighiales; Euphorbiaceae
Source: RNAcentral
CCCUAAUGAAAUGCCCUGCACUGCGCUAGCUGAGCUCGGGCUUUUCACACCCUUGCUCACAAAUCACCAACAUCCAUGGAGCAGAAACGGUGUUUCGACACCGUAAUCCGUGAAAUCGUAGCUCUCCUCUCUUCAAAUCCUGCCACACUGCAUCGCCCACUCAAAGUUCCACCUUCUCUCCCCAAUCAAAUUUCUGCCAAAGCCCUCCUUAUCUCCAGAUCCUAUCUCAUUUCCUCUAACGCUGACUCCAC